RNAcentral lists this ribosomal RNA (465 nucleotides) under uncultured Klebsiella sp. Its description in RNAcentral is "bacterial SSU rRNA". It matches the Rfam family "Bacterial small subunit ribosomal RNA", at positions 338 to 795 of the family's 1533-position model. The record is from RNAcentral. Lineage: Bacteria; Pseudomonadati; Pseudomonadota; Gammaproteobacteria; Enterobacterales; Enterobacteriaceae.
CCUACGGGGGGCAGCAGUGGGGAAUAUUGCACAAUGGGCGCAAGCCUGAUGCAGCCAUGCCGCGUGUGUGAAGAAGGCCUUCGGGUUGUAAAGCACUUUCAGCGGGGAGGAAGGCGUUAAGGUUAAUAACCUUGUCGAUUGACGUUACCCGCAGAAGAAGCACCGGCUAACUCCGUACCAGCAGCCGCGGUAAUACGGAGGGUGCAAGCGUUAAUCGGAAUUACUGGGCGUAAAGCGCACGCAGGCGGUCUGUCAAGUCGGAUGUGAAAUCCCCGGGCUCAACCUGGGAACUGCAUUCGAAACUGGCAGGCUAGAGUCUUGUAGAGGGGGGUAGAAUUCCAGGUGUAGCGGUGAAAUGCGUAGAGAUCUGGAGGAAUACCGGUGGCGAAGGCGGCCCCCUGGACAAAGACUGACGCUCAGGUGCGAAAGCGUGGGGAGCAAACAGGAUUAGAUACCCCGGUAGUC